Molecule: small nucleolar RNA, 220 nt
Organism: Nomascus leucogenys (northern white-cheeked gibbon)
Lineage: Eukaryota; Metazoa; Chordata; Mammalia; Primates; Hylobatidae
Gene: U3
Rfam family: Small nucleolar RNA U3
About the family: Small nucleolar RNAs (snoRNAs) are involved in the processing and modification of rRNA in the nucleolus. There are two main classes of snoRNAs: the box C/D class, and the box H/ACA class.
Source: Ensembl
AAGGCUAUACUUUCAGGGAUCAUUUUUAUAGCUUAUUACUAGAGGAGUUAAUGUGAAUGUGUAGAGCACCAGAAAACUUGAGGAGGAGGUGCAGCGUUCUCUCCUGAGCAUAAAGCCGGCCCUCAGUAUUGUGUUGCCUCACUGCAACUGCCAUUUGCCAUUGAUGUUGAUUGUUCUCUUUCACUGAGAGAGUAAGAGGACAGGAUACGUUCUGAGUGGC